Molecule: ribosomal RNA, 301 nt
Filed under: uncultured bacterium
Lineage: Bacteria
Description: partial 16S ribosomal RNA
Rfam family: Bacterial small subunit ribosomal RNA
Source: RNAcentral
CAGCAGCCACGGGAACACGUAGGGUGCGAGCGUUAAUCGGAAUUACUGGGCGUAAAGCGUGCGCAGGCGGUUCGUUAAGACAGAUGUGAAAUCCCCGGGCUUAACCUGGGAACUGCAUUUGUGACUGGCGAGCUAGAGUAUGGCAGAGGGGGGUAGAAUUCCACGUGUAGCAGUGAAAUGCGUAGAGAUGUGGAGGAAUACCGAUGGCGGAGGCAGCCCCCUGGGCCAAUACUGACGCUCAUGCACGAAAGCGUGGGGAGCAAACAGGAUUAGAUACCCGCGUAGUCCCUGUCUCUUAUAC